AAUUCCUGUAGUUACUAAAGGACUUAUGGAAAUCCUGCUUAGAUUAAGUGGCUCUCCGGGAGUCUCGGCGGCGCAGCGGCGCGGGCCGGCGGCUCUCCGCGGUGCUCCUCACCGGCACCGCGCCGCGCCCGCCCCCUCCUUCUCUCUCUCUCUUUUUUUUGCUUUUUUCAUUUUUUCUAUUUUUUUUUAAUUUUUCGUGGACGGGUACGUGGUUUCCUCUCCUCAGAGAGCCUGGCGGGGCCGCCCGCGGUCGCGGGGAAGGGCCGUAGCGGCGCGGCCGCGCACUUGCUUACAAGCUCAAUCCACACAGAAGAGCUGAUGCUGUACUCCUCUGACGGGACCUGUCCUUCAAGAACCCAAAAGAAGAAGCAAUGAGCUCCGCAAUGAGGAAAAUGAAUCCGCAGUCCAUCCUAGCAAGCACGUCCGAGUACAGGAGGAGACAUCAUAUGAAGCUAGAAUGUGUGGAUUAGCCAGAAGUUCUUUUUAACCAUGUAAAGUCCUACUCAAAGAUAAUGAUGAUCUCGGUGAGUCUGGUCUAAGUGGUCUAAGCAAUGCUGAAGGGAAGAACAGAGUUGGAAGGCAGGAGUUGUUUCAGAGGUGCAUUCUUCCUUCUAUAAAGCCCAAACAUGAAGAUUUUUGUAUUGCUAAACGUGGUUACCUACUCUAAAGUUGAGUCAGUGUGUGCCUAAUGAAAAUUGGAUGUGAAAUGUAAUAUCUAGAGGACAAAGAAGCAUUGAAAUCUAUUGCUCUUGAAGACAAAGAUCCUGCCAUCAAGGACUGAGCCUCCCUGAAAUCUUCUUAUCAGUUACUGCCGAGAUGAGAAGGAUAACAGGAAGGAGUGCUUAAGUGGUUUUAAUGACAGCUAAUUUCAUCUGUUUAUCAAAUGACAGGUUGUUUGUUUCCUCAAAAGUCAAUUGUAAUGACAAUAUGCUUUUGGAAGUCAUCUUUGUAAAAUAAAACUGACAAUUUUAGGUUACAGAGUUACUGUAAUCUUUCUGUACAAUGUUGUGUCACUAUAGUAAACUGCUGGAAAGUCUGUAUUUUUUCUGAAGUAACUUAACUUGUGUACUUUACUCAUUUGUUUGAAUGUCUGUUGACUGCCAUGUGAGAAGUUCCUUUCCAGAGUUUUGUUCAAUAGAACAGUUAUUCUUACAGCGCUCAAUUUAUUAUUGUCUAAAUUACUGUUGCCUUAGCCUCCCGCAAAAAUGUUUCUUUUCAGUAAUUCUUAAACAAGGAAUGAAUGGGUUUUUGUCCUCUUCCUAUUUUGAUCGGCAUAUUUUUCCUUUUAGUGAAAGCUUCUUCAGUCUUCAUAAUGACACUAUUACAAAGAAAGGUGCUUUGGAAAAAGGAAAAGAAAAAAAAAAGUGUCUUUUGAUGCAGUGAUUUUUGAAUGUGUACAUUGCCUAGACACAGUUGCUGGAGGGAGAGACAAACUUGGGAAUGUCAUGCCAUGCAAAAUUAAGAAUUAGUAGCUCUUACAUUGAGCAGUCUCUUCAACUAGAAUUGGACCUAUUGCAUCUGGCUUAUCCUUUGACUCUAGUGGAACUAAUGUGUCCUUGGAGUUGCAUUUUUAGAGUAACUUCAGAUUUAUGUUUUCUUCACAAGUCUGCUUUAAACUGUUGGGAUUAACUUCAGAGAAGGCAAGAGAUACAGUCUCUUUGUCAGCAUCUGUGCUGGUUAAAGAAGGAGGCUCCAUGUACUCUCUCUACUGGAGAUUAUUGCCCCUGCUAGGCAAGCGGGCUGACAUAUUUCCAUGAGCGCACUCAGACUUACCUCAGGCAGUGGUAAUCAUAUUAGUUAACUAAUGAUUAAUUAACUAAUUAGUGACAAUCAAGUAUUAGUUAACUAGUAGCUUGUUUUGGUGAAAGGGCAGGGGGUAUGCAGACCAGUUGCCCAGCUGGCAUAUCUGCGAGGAGGGGUGUUGAGGACCUGGUGGUGGCAUAGUCUUUUUAUCAGGUGCAGUUAUGCCUCUAAGAGGAUGUGGCCAGAGUUUGAUGCGUUAGAAAGUUGUGCAGUUCUGUUGAGUAUAAUUUGCAUGUUUCAGAGACAUGCUAGAUAAUACAAAAUACAGCUGUGCUCCUUAGUCCUUGUGCUUGACAACAUGAGUGGAGAGAGUUGAUAUGAGUGUGUGUAGGUGACAGAGGACACACACAUGUUUCAGGGAAGUUUGUGGUCGAGAUGAGUAAAUGGUACAAGUGUUUCUGUACCUCAAGGUACAGUCUGUUGUGCUUUAUUCAAAGUUUUGACAUACGGUGCCCUGAGCUGCUUUUAGAGGAGGAAAACAAAACAAAACCCACCCCGCAACAGAACACCUCUCCCCCACUAGUAUACGCUGCUGCUUUGCUGUCUGAUAGUGCUACUGGUGCUGGCAUCUGGUGAGGCAUGCAAGCUAAGGGCCCUGCUCCUGCUGUUCCCUAUGUCAAAAGGGGAACAGGAGCGAUGAUCUCUGGAACUGGAAGGUGCACUGUACAAAAACAGUACACUAAGCAGCUUCUUCAGGCUUGACUCUUUUCACAGGAAGGCUAUCAAAUAUAGGUGCUGUCCCACAAGCAAUGCUUGAGAAUACAAAAAGCAUCUAGUCCAUCAGAACCUUGAGGGCAGCAACUCUGCUCGUGCCUUGUCUUGGGGGACUGCUAGAGGAAAGGAAAUGAGUCAUCUCCAGCUCAGCAGUUUUGGAUUAGAUUUUCUUUAGGUGGUCCUAAGCUAAAGGAGGAGAAAAUAGCCUCCAUCUUGCCUACCAUAAGUAAACUGAAUUAGGGAGGAAAAUAACGUACUACGUCUGGAAAGGCACUGGUGUGAAAGAGCCCCACACAGUGCUGAUCUGCAGGAAAAGAGCAGUUUCUCCUGGCUGCUUUGUCCUUAGUCACACUACCCUACCAUAGUGCUUUCAGACCAGAUCCCACGCCUGCUCUCCCCUGAAUGCCUGCGGACCUCAAGAGUUGUGGGAUGAAGAGACAGGGCAUGGGGAUUCUUAAGAUUGAAGCUUGCAGAAAAAUUUGGAGAUGGACACAAACUUAGAAGUCACUAAUAUGUUGAAAUUGUAUGCAAGAAGUAGAGAUGAUGUGGCAGUUUGUGCAAAUGUAUUGUUUUCCUGCCAAGUUUUCAGCUAACUUGGCUUUGUACUGCUAUAUACUAAGAAAAUGUUGGACUUUUCAGUCAGAUUCUUUUACUAGCCUGCGCUUGCAGCGUAAUGCUCUGUGUGUGCAUAGUUCAUGGAGGCAGCAUGCCAACCACAUAGUUUCCAAAAUCCUCCACUUGCCACGGGUUCAAUCUGUGCAAGUUUAAGGUGAAAUGGGGUGCGGUUCCUGGUCUGAGAGCUGCGCUCGGUAAUGGCAUCCUGUGGUCAAGCCAUGGCUGAGCUCACAGCAGCAUUGCUAAGUUCAGGGUACUAACAGUGUGGAAGUGAAAUACCUCAUCCAAAGGGAUGCUUUAACAUCCCUAGCGACCUUUAGUUCAGAGUGUCUGAGCAUCCACAGAUCUUUGAGGCAGCCCGUAAUUCAUAUAAUCCUGUUAUCGUAAUACAGACUAUUGUAGAACCUAUGUUAAAAUAGUUACUGAGAUGCUUGUGAUUUCCUAAUAAUCUUUUUUGUCUGCUCAAGUGCCUGUAUGUAAUAAUCCUAUAUAUAUAUAUAUAUAUAUGUAUAUAUAUAUAAAAAUACCAUAUAGCUAUAUAGAAUUAAACCAAUAUUGUAAAAUAACUCCUCUCAUAUAGGAUGCUGUCAUGCUGUGUUAUGCCAGUGACUAAAACUUUACUUCUGAGCACUUAAAAUGAUCAAGUACUAUACUUAAGAGUGUCAUACUGUUUAUGUAGCAUGAAAAAGAAAAUAAAAUACAAUUUUAGAGCAGACUUUUUUCUUAUAAAUACUCCAAAUAAUAUGUUGGCUUCAACUAGACUUCCUGGCUCUAUGCUAUUGCUGCAUUCUGUAUGAGUAUAGCAGGAUCCCAAGCAUUUCAUAAUGUGCUUAGUGUUUUAAGCACAUGAUUUUUAUGUAUUUUCUCCAUAAAUAUAUCGGAUAAAACGUAAUUUUCCUUAACUGGUAGCGUAUUUACUUUCUAGCUCCUUUAACUUUAAUUCAAAAAUAUUUGAAUGAAAUAUAGCUCAUUCCUUAAAAUAAUCUUUACAUCUAUAAUAUGACUGUUGAUUUCAUAUGACUGUUUUUGUAUUUCAGACGUAGCAAAACAUUUCCAAGGCAUUGUGCAUUGACAGCAUAGAGAGAUAAAAAUCAGGUAAUGAUAAAUUCUAUGGUGCAAACUUUUAAUAAGAAUAAUGAAUCAUUAAAAAUGUUUAGAAAGAGAAUAGGAGAUUUGCUAUCAGUUGAGGUCUUUGAAUGAAGAUGGAAUGUUUUUAUAGAGAUACAUACUUGAGUAAAUACCUGUCUGAGGUACAGAAAUUCCUACCUGGGUCUGUGGCUUUCAUUACCCCUGGGGUCAGCCUAGAUUAUCUUGGAGGUUCUUCUGCCUUAGAAGAGAGGAAGGCAUCAGUACUCUAGUUUUAACAAAUAUAUUUACAGAAGAGCAGCUUCUACUGAAAACUUAUGAAAAGUUACUUGCACUUCUUUUAAACAAAAAAACCCUCUGUGUGUGUGCGUGUGUGCGCGCGUGUGUGUGUUGGGGAGAGGGGGGUGUCACUUAAUUACUAAGUUGGCAAGUUUCCUGCCUUCUAACAUCAUGUGUUUUCAAAGAUCCUUAAUCACCUGGCUACUUGGUUUGGAACACUGUAACAUUUCAGUAGCUUUAGGUGGGUUUGUUUGCUCAUCCAUGCAUGCUUUCUUCAACUGUCUGUCUUACACUGCCCGUUUUCAGCAAGAGCCUAAGGUCUGUUGGGUAAUUCAUAUGUUUUGCACUGAAGGACUUUUGAAAACUAUUUCUGAUUCUUUUGGUUGUUUUGUUGAAAUAUAGACUAAAUACCAGAACUCUCUGAAUGUUGUGCAAAAUACGUAUUUCUGUAGAAUCUCAACUUACUCUUCUCUGUUCCUCCCAAAUUAAUCAAUCAGCACAUUAAUUUUUUUUUCAGAGCAAAUGUCUCUUAUAUAUUUCUGCAAAGUGUAAUGUUGUCUUGUCUCUAGAAAUAAUUAUUCGGUUUAAAAUAAUCUUGAUAGCAACCCGCUGUGCAUAAAUUAGGUUUGUUCUCUAUUAAGAUUAGUUUGCUGGCAUCCAUUCACAGGCAUAUCACAAAAAAAAAAAAAAAUGGUGAGUUUAUUGCAUCUGGUUAUUCUUCCUUUUUUCUUUUUAAUGGGCUUUUUGUUGCUGUGCUGUCACCAAGGCUGAAAUAAAUGUGUGCAAAUCA
Rhea pennata is the source of this 5287-nucleotide long non-coding RNA. RefSeq lists it as uncharacterized. The transcript has 6 exons. Lineage: Eukaryota; Metazoa; Chordata; Aves; Rheiformes; Rheidae. The record is from RefSeq and is a predicted model, not a curated record.